This 1384-nucleotide long non-coding RNA is filed under the name Polistes fuscatus (common paper wasp). RNAcentral describes it as "uncharacterized LOC122526724, transcript variant X4". Lineage: Eukaryota; Metazoa; Arthropoda; Insecta; Hymenoptera; Vespidae. The record is from RNAcentral.
UAUGGAGUGUAUUUUGUUAAAGUGCAAUGGUCUAGUGCAAUAAAAAAAUUAUUUGUGAUUGAAUAAGUAAUACAUGGACACAACCCUGACGCAUUGUUCGUUCCAAGAACUCUCACAAUAAAAUACGAGCCUUCAAUUGUUUAACAAAGAGAGUCGAGAUGAAAAGCCCGGGAUUCGAACACCCAGGAUCUUUCGCAUAUCGAAAGAACGCUCUACCACUUGAGCCACGAAGACCUGUUAUAUAGACCUAUUUAUAUUUAAUAAAUUACUUAUUUCAUCGUAUAUUUUUCCUUCUUUUUGCGCAACUUGAAAAUUAAUAUUUUCUAACUUUUAGAAAUUGAAGAUCUUUUCGGAUAUAUGAUCAAUAUCGUAAUACUUCACCAUGAACACUGGAUUGUGACUAAAAAAUGUACAUAAGACGACAACUAAUGACAUUUAAUGUUUAAGAUUAAUUCCAGGAAAAAUUUGUUUUCAUUAAUUCUCGAUUUUACUUUUAUAUAUUCAAAUACUUUGGUGAGUCACUGUAAGUGAUCCAUUGACACGACGUGACUUGUGUAUUUCCCCCUUAAGAUAUAUCUUCAAUUCACGACAUUUGAAGUGUUCUAUUUCUGGAUCAACUCCUUCCGCCCUUACAACGUGGAAGUGGAAAAGGAUAACAAUCCUUUUUCAAGCAGAGUGGGAAUGAGCGUUCACGAGACCGUGCACAGUAAGAGGGUGAGAACCACUACGACCGUACAACCCCAUGCCUAUUAUCAUUAAUAGGAAUGGACGAUAUCCUGAUAUACUAAAAACGAUUGGGAAAGUGAAUCUGGAAAAAAACGUAGAAGAAUUUAUUGAGAAAAAUCAAGGUGAAGAAAGCUACUAAAAACGAUUGAAGAAAAAUGACAAUUAUCUUCAAGACCGACUCCGCCUGGUUAAUACCUUGCUGAUCCCAAUCUCAGACAAAGGAGAAGGGUUCGAGGAUGAGGCGAGCAACCUACCCUCGAUAAAAAUAAUAAAUCGUUCCCGAAAAUAGCAUUAAAAAAAAAAAGCUAUUCUAACAGGACGAAGUCAUAAUAAAAAGAAGAAAAAGAAGAAUCUUCGAGACCGUAAAAAUGUCAAUUCUCUAGCGAUAGAUGAACUUUAAACGCCAAACGAUAAUAAUGAGGAUCAACUGGAAAAAUUAGAAUACCGCAGUUUCUUUUGUAAAAUAUUCAUAGCUUUUUCCGCAUAUUCUAACACGAAAAUAAUAUUUAGUAUGAAAUUUGAAGAUGCUGGAAUUCCUGUUACACACGGAUUAAGAUUUCUUUCGAUUAUGUGGAUUAUUUUGCUGCACACAUUUUACUUGUGUAAAUGUAAAUUUUGUUGAUAACAAAAUUUUGUUAAUAAAUUAUUGAUAAAUUCA